Molecule: ribosomal RNA, 1342 nt
Filed under: uncultured bacterium
Lineage: Bacteria
Description: 16S ribosomal RNA
Rfam family: Bacterial small subunit ribosomal RNA
Source: RNAcentral
GACGAACGCUGUCGGCGGGCUUAACACAUGCAAGUCGAACGGAAAGGCCCUGCUUUUGUGGGGUGCUCGAGUGGCGAACGGGUGAUUAACACGUGAGUAACCUGCCCUUGACUUUGGGAUAACUUCAGGAAACUGGGGCUAAUACCGGAUAGGAGCUCCUGCUGCAUGGUGGGGGUUGGAAAGUUUCGGCGGUUGGGGAUGGACUCGCGGCUUAUCAGCUUGUUGGUGGGGUAAUGGCUUACCAAGGCUUUGACGGGUAGCCGGCCUGAGAGGGUGACCGGCCACAUUGGGACUGAGAUACGGCCCAGACUCCUACGGGAGGCAGCAGUGGGGAAUAUUGCACAAUGGGCGGAAGCCUGAUGCAGCAACGCCGCGUGCGGGAUGACGGCCUUCGGGUUGUAAACCGCUUUCGCCUGUGACGAAGCGUGAGUGACGGUAAUGGGUAAAGAAGCACCGGCUAACUACGUGCCAGCAGCCGCGGUGAUACGUAGGGUGCGAGCGUUGUCCGGAUUUAUUGGGCAUAAAGGGCUCGUAGGUGGUUGAUCGCGUCGGAAGUGUAAUCUUGGGGCUUAACCCUGAGCGUGCUUUCGAUACGGGUUGACUUGAGGAAGUAGGGGAGAAUGGAAUUCCUGGUGGAGCGGUGGAAUGCGCAGAUAUCAGGAGGAACACCAGUGGCGAAGGCGGUUCUCUGGGCCUUUCCUGACGCUGAGGAGCGAAAGCGUGGGGAGCGAACAGGCUUAGAUACCCUGGUAGUCCACGCUGUAAACGGUGGGUACUAGGUGUGGGGUCCAUUCCACGGGUUCCGUGCCGUAGCUAACGCUUUAAGUACCCCGCCUGGGGAGUACGGCCGCAAGGCUAAAACUCAAAGGAAUUGACGGGGCCCCGCACAAGCGGCGGAGCAUGCGGAUUAAUUCGAUGCAACGCGUAGAACCUUACCUGGGUUUGACAUGGAUCGGGAGUGCUCAGAGAUGGGUGUGCCUCUUUUGGGGUCGGUUCACAGGUGGUGCAUGGCUGUCGUCAGCUCGUGUCGUGAGAUGUUGGGUUAAGUCCCGCAACGAGCGCAACCCUUGUUCACUGUUGCCAGCACGUUAUGGUGGGGACUCAGUGGAGACCGCCGGGGUCAACUCGGAGGAAGGUGGGGAUGACGCCAAGUCAUCAUGCCCCUUAUGUCCAGGGCUUCACGCAUGCUACAAUGGCUGGUACAGAGAGUGGCGAGCCUGUGAGGGUGAGCGAAUCUCGGAAAGCCGGUCUCAGUUCGGAUUGGGGUCUGCAACUCGACCUCAUGAAGUCGGAGUCGCUAGUAAUCGCAGAUCAGCAACGCUGCGGUGAAUACGUUCCCGGG